GAAAAUAUUAAAAUAUUCCAUGUAUUUCUCAGGCUGCUGGCAACCCACUUAACUGGGAUUAAGGCCACUUGAACUCAGUGAGAUUUCUUCUUGAGUAGGCAUAGCCAAAAUUGUGAUGUUAACAAUUUAUUACUAAUAUUAAUAAUAAUUAAUAAUGCCACAGCACCAUCAGUGUGCCUUGUGUUUUACACUGAGCAGCAUAAGCGAAAAGAGACAGCUCCCUGUGCCAAAGAACUUGCCGUCUAAAUUUCAGUGGAGACAAUAAAAGAAAUGGGAGGCAAAGAGAGAGCAGGCUGGAUAUAGUUUCACGUGUUUAGGUUCAUUUUUGUACUUGGGUAGGUGCUUUCAUCUACCAAUUGCUCCUUUCUUUCACAGCAUGUAGUUAUGAUCCGCACAGAUGUGGCAAUCAUAUUAAAUAUGUUCAAUUUUGACAACAUUUCUUUGAAGAAUUAAUUUAAGGCUGGUCCCCUUGUUAUAUCCAUCUUUGUUCUGAAUUUUUUGCAUGGAUAAGCUACUUUGAGUGGAAAACUAAUAUGCCCAAAAUGCAGGGAAGUGAAGAGGUUAAAGAUGGAGAAUGAGAAGGAAAUGAAAUAAGCCCAAUUCUCCUUCAUUUUUUUUUCUUCCUUUCAUGAAAGGCUUGUUAAGCUUCAUUACUCAUAAAAUAUUCAGCACAUUGUUUGAAGGAUAAAACAACAUGCAUGUCUCUACUCCCAGCCUUUCGGGAAGAGAAAUUCCUCCCGGAUAUGAUUUAUAUUCAUGGCGUAAGCUUUGGUAUGGUUGGUGAGUCAGUGAAAAUAAAGAUGAAGGAAGAAGGGGCUUGAAGAAAGAUGUUCCAUGUUGUAGUUCACAGCUUUCAUCGUAAGAUCUGAUUCCUUUCUGUACCUUGCUAACAAGAUUCUCUGGUGAGAGGAAUGCUAAUCUCCAUAGAUUGUUCACCCCGUGGGAAGAAAAACCCUAUAAGGUGUUUUAAAGGGCUUGUGAGAUGCAGCUUCUGUCAGUGUUUCUUAUAUAAAGGAAGGCAAGAGGGUCCUUAAGACAAUCUUACAUAUUGUGAGGAGGAAAAGCUAGCAUGGUGGUACUGAGGAGAAUUAUUGCCCCUUUGUUGUAAUGUAAACUACUGAACAAAUACAGCAUAUGUAAAUAGUUACAUAACUAUUAUUCAGCAGCAAAGCCGAGCGAUGAAACGUAAUAUUCUGUGCAGUCAUUGAUCCAACAUGGCCGACAACCUUAGCAGCUAUCCACAGCUUGGUUGCCCUUUUGCAACAGAUCAAGCUAUUACAGUGGUUCCUCAGGUUACAGACUCUGCUAACCCAGAAAUAGUGCUUCAGGUUAAGUACUUUGCUUCAGGAUGAGAACAGAAAUCAUGCUCUGGCAGCGUGGCAGCAGCAGGAGGCCCCAUUAGCUAAAGUGGUGCUUCAGGUAAAGUACAGUUUUAGGUUAAGUAUGGACCUCUGGAAUGAAUUAAGUACUUAACCUGAGGUACCACUGUACUGUUUUGAUAUUUUCUCAAUUAAUUUUGUCACUGUCUCCCCCCCCCCUUACUGGAAGAAGAAAAGGGGACAGGAAAGGACAGCUGCCACUAACCAAAUAACUUACCCUCCAACAUUUCUCCACUGAAAAUAGGGACGUCCUAAGGAAAAGCGUGACAUUCCAGGAUCAAUUCAGAAACUGGGAUGGCUUCUGUAAAUUGGGGACUGUUCCUGGAAAAUAGGGACACUUGGAGGAUCUGCAAUAAUUGUUUUGUCCAAACAAUCUCAAAGUACUGGAACAGCAUAUUAUGUUGGAAAUGGCCCUGAGUGAUCAGAGGCCACUAACUAGAACCUUCCUUAAAGGAGAGUUAUCUAAAGCAGUACUGUAUCUCCACAUAUUAACAUGAUAUGUAUAAAUAAUUGUAAUGAAAUCCAUAAUAGUCUUUAAUCCUGCCUUUACUGUUUAGGUAGCUUUAACAGUAGAGCAACCUGUUAUAUAUAUACCUUGUGGCAAUGUGAUGGAAAUAUCUAGGUUCUCAGACGGAGAGACACUGAUCAUCUUAAUCACAUGACAAGUUUAUUCCUCUGUACUGGUGGUUACUAGGAAUGUGAACUGCUUUAAGUGUCAACUCUUUAGGUUCUGCUUUACAAAGGUUAUUUUUUUCCCUUUUGCAAAUUUUGUGGUUCCCCCCAGGCUGCUGAUAUCUCCUUCUUUUUUGUCGGUGACGCCAUGUUGGCUACAUAAACAAUGUAAAGGUAAUGAUGUUAAACAUUUGACCAGUAGUAUGGUACAAGUUUUUUAAAACAGAAGAAUCUCAUGGUGAUAUUAAGAUUGACCAUUUCCAUUUGUUGACCUCAUAAUGACUGUGCACCGGUGACAAGACUUUUGAGAAACUUAUCUUCUAAGCCAAAAUAAAGUUGCUUAUCUUCUACCUUUGGAGGCCAGAUUUGCUAAGCUUUUUCUCUGUAAGUUAAAAGAUAGAGGCGAUAGUACAGAGACAUACCUUCCCAUGGGAUUUUGAAGUAUGUCUGAAAGCUAUCAAUUGCGGCAAAAUAUAAGAUACCCUUCUCUUUUCAUUGUCAAUAUCCGUGACAUUUCCUUUGCCUGAUGUGGAAUAAACACACAUCACUCCAUUCUUUCAUCCUGACUGGCUUUGGCUGCAUUUAUCAAACAAGACAGAAGUGGAAUAUAGAUGCAUGCGAAGAAAAGAUGGGUCAAAUCCUGUUCAUUAAACCAAAAGUCACCAAGUUGUAAGAGUACAGUAACAUUUGUCUUGGGCAGCACUUAGCCUCUUGGUAGUUCAUCUGUGAAGUUUCAACAAAUAACUCAUUAGAAUUAUAUAGGGGAGCAUAUUUCACUUAGUUUAGCCAGUCUAGUCUAUUUCAAUUCCAGAGAAAAUGUCACUUGGAGCUUCUGUUUAUUCGCAUUGGUGCCUAUGCAGGUUCCAAACAUUUACCUGCAAAUGCCCCAUAAAAGUCAUCUUUUCCCAACGAGUGACCUUAGAAUCAGCUGACAUUUCCAAAAGUGAGCCUCAUAGAAUAUAAUCAGGCUAGGAGGGAGUAAGAAUGGGGACAAAACUAGAAUGAGUUGGGUGUCUCUGUCACUCUCUGUAGCAACCUGCUGUUCUCCUGGCCUUCUGCCCUACCAGUCUCAACAGGCACCAGCCAAUAUUUGGGUUCUUAUAUUACCACUGUGGCCUAGUGGCCGCAGGGCACCAUUGUAACAAAAAGGGAAAGACCAGUAACAGCUUACAUGGUGGUUUUACCGAUAACAUUUGGCACCUGCUAUAGCCAUUCUAAAUGGUCAUAAAAAGAAGGGCAGACUAUAAUUCUUGUUAAAUAAAGGCACUCAUUAUUUCUGUUUGAAGCUCGGUAAAAACAUUCCACUGCCCCCUCUUUUUAAUGCAGAAUAAAAAAACUAAUUUUGCGUUAAAGAUCAGGGAAGAACUUGUCUUUCUUUUUUUUACUUACGAGUGGAAGAAUUAUGCUCCUCUCUACCUUAAUGGGAACAGUAAGUAAAAAUAAUUAUCCAUGCAUGCUUGCCAUCUCAUUAAAUAUUUGAUGUAAAAAUCCCUCCAAUAAAAACUCUAAAAUGGAUAUAUAUUUUUCUCCCACUGUUGAGCUUCAGAUGGUUUAUUAUUUCCAUUAGGCUUUGGGAAUUUGAUUGUUUAAUCAAGCGCCUUUACUCUUGUGUAUCUCUUUAGAUUCCAUUAAUGUAGUGAUACUUCUCACUCAGUUUGUACCACUUGUUGCUUUAAGUGUUGAUUAUUACACUUACCCCCUCUGUUUUCUUGCCUUCCGGUCUUGUUUUGCGUUCUUCUUUCAGCAGUUUGUAGGUGGCAAGCACUAUCUGAUAAGCUACUUUCAUAAAACACGCACACGGGGGAAACAUGACUGCAAAUAAAAUGGCAGCCUUGGCCGUCUUGCACCCAAACUUCACUCCUGCUGUUAAGUUGUGGGUGAACAUACCAGAUGACACAGCGAUUCUUCAAACAGCUCUUGUUUAUUCCGAGGCCAGAACAGAACUGAACUGAAGAGCUCAGUCAGCCUGCUUAUAUAGAGCUCCAGUACGUUACUGUAGCAACUUUCUAAAACUAUCCAAUCACUGAAUGUCACUUUCGAUCCUUCAUUUGCAUAACUAUCUACAGUAUCCCCCUGCUGGCCCAGGGUGAGAACUUCAGUACAUAACACCUGCGGUCUGGAAGCUCCCCUGAGCACGGUUCCACUCAGGGGGAUGCUCAACACGGGUAUAUGUGGAGGAGGAGGCUGUUUCUGAUUCAACCUUCUCCCUGAAGCCUCUUUUACCUUCCAGAAGUUCCUUCCUAUUUUUCAAGAUUAGGAGACCCUUUGGAAAUGGCACUUAGCACUGUAGCAGGGGUGGGAUUUAACAGUAGGACUUGGCUUCUGAGUAGACAUGUAUGGUAUUGCACUGCAAAUCUCCUUGGAACAUCCUGAUGACUCAGACAUUAAAUUGAAUAUUUUAAGUCCAUCUGAGGUUUUAAUUAUAUCUCCCCUGUUAAUAAGAGGUGGAAUGGAAGACCUAAAUAUUAUAGGCCUUAGGCCUUCAUUAGCUCUUGGUUUAGUAUUUUCUUUGAAUCUGCUUAUAUUUCCAACUCGCUAAUUUGGGGCCUUGAUUUCUAUUAUUUGUAGCUACAUCAGUAACUAUUUGAAACAACGGUUUUCCACUAUAUGGGGGGAAUGCUGCUAAAAAUCAAGUAAUAAUACUGCCUCAACAUAAAUGCUGGUGGUGCCUACUUUUUCUUCCAAGAAAAUUAGCAAUAGAAAUACCUUUUGUUGCUGUAACAAAUUGAAUAUCAUUCAUUCUCUGCCACCCACUCAUCACCUUAUUUUAAAUUACUGAGAGAUGGAAAUUAUAUUAUGAUUUGCCAUGCUUUCUGGCCUAGAUCCACAGCUAGUGAAUCAUUCUUCAUUUAGCAAAUACUGCUAUUGCCUCUUUCAUAGGAUGGAUUUAGCUGUACUUUUCACAUAGAACUGCAGGGCGCAUAUGCUCAGCAAGCAGCAGGUCCCAUUUUCAAUUUUUAGCAUCUCCAGGUAGGCCUGGAAAAGACUCUUGGUCUGAAACACCUGGAAAGCUGCAACCAAUCAGUGUAGAUGUCAUGGACUGGUUGGAUGCAAAAUAUCCAACUGGGGAACCACCAAAGGAAGAAGGCUCAGAGCCUGAGAAGUGGUGGUUGGCAGAGAGAGGAGACUGGGAAGAGGAUGUGUCAGAAGUUGAAGAGCUAGGAGAGUCUGUGGCAGAGAGAAGUCUAGAAUCAGAGGCAGAAGCUGAAGCAGGUGAAUGGGAAGAGGCCAAGAGGAAUAGAUGAGUCAGACUGGUGAAGAAUCACUGGUGUCUCCCCCUCCUUCAGUCAAGACUAACUAGAAUUGAAAAACAUGUCAAUAGCCCAAACAGAAAAGUUAUACUUCCCAUUAACAACUUCCUGAACCUCUUCUAUCAUUGUGUUACAUGCAACAACUUUACUCCAGAAUUCUAAAUUCAUAUAUGCAUAACUUGCCCUUUGUUCUAGGGUUUUUCAUUUUCUCUGUUUCAUUAUUUUUUGCAAUUUGAGAUUGUGGGCAGUAUAGCACAGUGGCCCUCAGGCCCUAGCCACCUUUAGUCUGGGUUCAGACAUAAGGGGAAGCCACUGUUUGAGUUAUUUGUGUGAAACCCAGGCUUCUAUGUUCCUCUCUUCCCUUCUUUCAUGCACCAGAAGAAAAGUUCAGAGGUUUCUGCUUUUCAUUUUGGACUUGCAACAGUUCCCCGUGAUGUUCAGACUCUGAGAAUUGCAGUCCAACAACUUCUGGAGGGCCACAGGUUCCUGAGCCCUGGUUGAAGCGAACCGGUAUUCUGAGCACACACAACCUGGAGAAACUGCGGUUAGUUUAAAAGUGAAGUGGAAACAAUCAUCUUGUGGGUUGUGAAAACAAGGGGAGGAGGUGGAGGGGGUGGUGAGCCCAGGGCUCACUGUGGUUUAACUAAUAGGAAACUAAUAGUUGCCUGACACGAACAAAAAUAAAAGAAAAAGUCCCUGUAGCAUGUUUUGAUUGGGAAUCAGUAAAAAUAUUCUCAUGUCACAAAGUAACAGAGAGACUGAACAUGGGAGUUAUUUUUCUUUUCCUCCUCAGUCACUUAGUUAACCAUGCUCUUGAUUUUUUCAAUGCAGAUCAAUAAGAUGUUUGCUUGAACCCUGCUGCUAUGUUUUACUUGUAAACAUACAGGGUUUGUGUUUUGUUUUUGAAUGGCAAGACUGUGGGAUAUUUCCCUGCUCAUACAGAUCCCUUUAGCUUGACAAAAAAAGAGCCUGAUUGGAGAAACAGUGUGUUAUCGACAAAGAGAAGCUGGGAAAGUGAUUUGUGAAAGUGUGUGAGCAGAACACAGAAAUCUCCUGUCAUUUCUGAUUAUAUAAAACGCAUGUGUUCUGAGAGUGGGCUGUUAAUCUACAAAUCAUUCUUUCUCUGGAACAGUAGAAGAGGAGUCAUAUGCAAGCCAGGAGUAUUUUACCAGUUACAGAUUUUUUUAGACAGGAGAUCAAUAAGAGUGAGUAGCUUGAAAAUAACAAUAAACACCUGCCUCUGCGGAGAGGUUGAGACUUUGUCUUCUUGCUGAGGGAUGUGGUGUCUGUUUCAGCUUGUUGCAAAGGUCAGUAGACAAAUGUAAAAAAGAGUG
RNAcentral lists this long non-coding RNA (6636 nucleotides) under Podarcis lilfordi (Lilford's wall lizard). The record is from RNAcentral. Lineage: Eukaryota; Metazoa; Chordata; Lepidosauria; Squamata; Lacertidae.